UCAGGCCACCGGGAAAUGUCCCGGUGCUCCCGAUGGCCAGUCCGCCCCUGUGUGUGUGUGUGUGUGUGUGUGUGUGUGUGUGGUAAAGAUGUCUAAAUAUAACAAAACCCUCCUGUGUGGAAAUUUGAGACUGUUCUCUUUUGGGAAAACAAUUAAAAUAUAUAUUUGGUAUGUAGUAAUUGAUUAGUAUCUGCCAUCAGCCAUCUUGAUGUUUGCUAUGAUGGCAGUACAUCACCUGUUUGCGUCCUUCAUCCUUCUCCCUAUCUCAAACACAGGGUUCAGUGCUGAGAUCUCUGUGUUUGUUCAGACGGGAGAUUCUGUUCAACUGGAUAUACAGACACAACAACUACCAGAGUUUGAUCUUUUAUACUGGAGAAAUGAUAAAUCAGAGAGUAUAGUUAUAUAAGUGGAUCUAAAACAGUAUGAUUGCUCUCUUCCUACAAAGACAGAGUAGAUUUUAAUGAUAAAACCUUCUCUUUAUCACUGAGGAACAUGCCAAAGACAGACAAUGGACUCUACAGAGCAAAAACAAGUGGAGAAUCAGUGUUAUGUUUGUGCACUUACAUAACAUAAGACAGACACUCUGAUUGGAGCUUAGCUUGAACACGUCUUUACUGCGCAAUUGCAAUUAUCACAUUCAACACUAGAGUGCGCAAAUAUAGAAUACUUUCUUGUUAUUGACUCAACAACCAGACAGCAUUAUUGUUACAUACAGAGUAUCUGUAGGUGAGUCUCAUUUCUUUGUCUGAUUGAAUGUGUUCCUGGAUUAAAGACAGUUCAUAAGAUUAAUUUAAGUUGCUUUUUUACUGAUAUAUUCAAAAUAUUUUACUUUUUUUUUUUUAAAUACAUCAAGUGUUUCUGUAACUUCAGUUAAAGAAAACAACAGGAGUCCUUCCCCUGAUGAUUUUUACUCAAAACCCUUUGCAUAGAGAAUAUAGCUGCAUUUUUGGAUAAUUUUUGUACUUUGCAUUGCGCUUAUAUUUUAAUGUACAUUUAACAGCAUCUCUGCUGUUGUCUUAUUUUACCAUAUAAAUGUUUAAACCUUUUUUAAAAUCACUGUGCUGUGAAACUGUGAAUGUGUUUCUGAUUUUGGUUUAAAUGUGUGUGUUUCAGAUGCUGUGGAGGCUCCUGUCCUGACUGUGAUUCCUGUUCUGUCAAUUUUACACUGACUUCACACUCAGCUCCACUUUUGUACAUUACGGCUGCUCACGAGAAGAAGUGACAUCAGACGGAAUCAACACUCUCAUCCUGUUCUGCAGUGUGGAAUCCAUCAUCUGUAACCACAGCAACCCUGUCAGCUGGAAAAAAGACAGAAUAAACAUUAAACAACUCUGUGAAGGUGUCAAACAGGCUGAUGAUACAGACUAUGAUGAUGUUGAGACUCUGACCCAGAAGAUUACAGGGGAUACAUGGACCACCGCUAACCUACAGUAGGACAAAACCAAACACCUUCAUUUGAUUAUGACUGCUGAAGAUCACACACUGCUGAGUAAAAACACUUUGAUGAUUGACUGGACAGAACUUAAAGUCUGAAUUUAACUAGCUGACUUCAUAACUCUUGUUGAAUUAUACAGAUACUUUUACUAUUGUGUGUCAAAAGAAAUUAGUCCUUUUCUGCUCCCCUCAUGACUUUAAUAGUUUUAUGUAAUCAUCAUACUCUUUAUGUGUAUCUUUAUGUGGUUUGAAUUUUCCAUUCUUGACUUUGUUUCUGUUGAACAAGAGAUUUUAAUAUCUCAGUUGGGCUAGCUGUUCAGUAAAUACAAUUUGCAGCUAAAACUGACCAAACAAUUGAUGUUCUAUUAUGAGCUCUAUAAGCUAUACUUUCCCAUUUAUCUCAAAGCCAGUUAAUAUAGAUUAUUACUUAACACAAAAUAAUUCUAACUUUAUCAUAUUCAUAUAUGUCCAUAAAUAUUUUUGUAACAAUUAUUAUUAUUAUACUAUUUAUGAUGCCUGUAUAAAAGUUUCUUGAUUUAAUGCAAUUCACCAAAAAUCACACUAUGAAAAAUAGUAUAACCAUUGUAAAUAGCGUACAGAUCAAAGCAGUAUUAUAAUAAAAAUCUGACUUUACAAAAAUAUUACAAAAAUAAAAUACAUUUGCAAACAUAAAUAGGCCUACAUACCACUAUAUUUAACUAUUUUAUAAUCUAAUUUAUGUUCCUCCUCAGUCAAUGCAGUACUGAAAAUUAGAAUUUAAAACCAGUCAAAACUACAGAAUUGUAUCCUCAUAUUUACAAGUACAGCCUCAUUACGUGUCCUUAGACCCGACAGCGAGUAGCCCAGUGAGUAUUCUAUGGGUCAGGAAAGGAAACCUCACUCCAUAUUGCUUUGUAUGCUUUUUAGUGUAUGACAACCUGUAUUCUGCUGGCAAACCAUUAAAAUAACUGGAGAAGGCAUCCAGAUGAUUCAUGUAGUAAAUAUUUUAGGCGCUCACAUCUGACUACUUCUGCAGAACAGUCACAUUCUGCCACCAGGUAGAUUCCGCCCACAAAACACGUCAUCACUAGUGUUUAUACAUACCUGAAUGGUCUAUUCACUUUAUGCUUAUACAUGUUGUAUUCGUCAGUCUAUGUGUAUUGUUGUUUCAUACUGUGAUUUUCUUUUCUUUCAGUUUUCAUAGUUUCUACUCUCAACUAUAUGCAGGUAAGAAGCUGUUUCUCAAGGAUCUUUAUCUUACCCUGCUCUGCUCACUUUUGUGUAUGUUAAGUGUUUUCUCAUAAACAUAGGCUACACAGAGAGCAAAUCCCAUACAAUAAGGAAUUAAAGGUGCAGUUUAGAAAUUUGUCGAAGACACCUUAUGGUCAAAUAUAACGUGUUUUUUUUUGUUGUUGUUGUUGUUGUUGUUUUGUUUGUUUAGUUUUUUUGUUUUGGAACAGGAAAUAUUUUACUCUAUAGCUCACACUUUCGGUUUGUAGUCUAGAUGACAUGUUGGAUAUAGCAAUGGUAUGCGUUGAGGCGGUUAGUUAUAUGAUAAGAUGAGGCUGCUUAAGUUAGAAUUUAAUUGCACUUUAUUUUCACCAGCAGUGAAUUCUUGAAUGGAUACCAGUUGCUGUUCAACAGCUUUUCCAUUGAUUGAUUGAUUGAUUUUUUAGUUUGUCAGUGUUUCGGCUGUUUAAUCAUAAUUUAUCACAUUCACAUGUAUGUAUAUUUUAGUGUUGUAAAAGUUUGCGAUUUUUCGAUGCAUAU
Molecule: long non-coding RNA, 3183 nt
Organism: Cyprinus carpio (common carp)
Lineage: Eukaryota; Metazoa; Chordata; Actinopteri; Cypriniformes; Cyprinidae
Exons: 4
Source: RefSeq, a predicted model, not a curated record